This 29-nucleotide non-coding RNA is filed under the name Mus musculus (house mouse). Lineage: Eukaryota; Metazoa; Chordata; Mammalia; Rodentia; Muridae. The record is from RNAcentral.
AUGGACGAUACAAUGCAGAUGCUAUCUUA